RNAcentral lists this long non-coding RNA (335 nucleotides) under Lathyrus oleraceus (garden pea). RNAcentral's name for it is "Pisum sativum (pea) long non-coding RNA (PSAT_LNC001369)". Lineage: Eukaryota; Viridiplantae; Streptophyta; Magnoliopsida; Fabales; Fabaceae. The record is from RNAcentral.
AUUUUGAUAUUUUUCAUGAUUUAAUUGUUUUUGUGCAUAUUUUUAAUUGUUUAAAAAUACUUCUGACUUUUCAAAAAUUAUGAAAUUUUUUGUCUAAGGUCCUUUGACCUUGUUUGACCUAGGAUAAAUCUCUUGGCCAUUUAUUUGAUUUUUGUGCAUAUUUUUAAUUGUUUAAAAAUACUUCUGACUUUUCAAAAAUUAUGAAAUUUUUUGUCUAAGGUCCUUUGACCUUGUUUGACCUAGGAUAAAUCUCUUGGCCAUUUAUUUGGUGUUUUAUAGAGGUUUUAGGUUUUGACCAAACUAAAUUUAAUUUAAAUGCAUUUUUUAUUUGAUUU